Molecule: ribosomal RNA, 274 nt
Filed under: uncultured bacterium
Lineage: Bacteria
Description: partial 16S ribosomal RNA
Rfam family: Bacterial small subunit ribosomal RNA
Source: RNAcentral
ACACGGGGGUGGCAAGCGUUGUCCGGAAUUAUUGGGCGUAAAGGGCACGUAGGCGGGAUGAUUAGUCUGAGGUGAAAGCUUGCGGCUUAACCGUAAGUCUGCCUUGGAUACUGUCAUUCUUGAGUUCGGAAGAGGGAAGUGGAAUUCCUGGUGUAGCGGUGAAAUGCGUAGAUAUCAGGAAGAACACCGGUGGCGAAGGCGGCUUCCUGGUCCGAUACUGACGCUGAUGUGCGAAAGCGUGGGGAGCAAACAGGAGUAGAAACCCUAGUAGUCC